Molecule: unclassified non-coding RNA, 370 nt
Filed under: Epilithonimonas bovis
Lineage: Bacteria; Pseudomonadati; Bacteroidota; Flavobacteriia; Flavobacteriales; Weeksellaceae
Description: contains 16S-23S intergenic spacer region
Source: RNAcentral
UCUCUACUUGCGUAGGCAGUCUCGCCAGAGUCCUCAACUGAAUGGUAGCAACUGGCGACAGGGGUUGCGCUCGUUGCAGGACUUAACCUAACACCUCACGGCACGAGCUGACGACAACCAUGCAGCACCUUGGAAGCGGCCCGAAGGAGGGCCUAUUUCUAAGCCUGUCCACUCCCAUUUAAGUCUUGGUAAGGUUCCUCGCGUAUCAUCGAAUUAAACCACAUAAUCCACCGCUUGUGCGGGCCCCCGUCAAUUCCUUUGAGUUUCAUUCUUGCGAACGUACUCCCCAGGUGGCUAACUUAUCACUUUCGCUUAGUCUCUCAUGACGAAUCACAAAAAACGAGUUAGCAUCGUUUACGGCGUGGACUAC